AAAAUUAAAAGGCUUCACUCGCUGGAGGAGGUGUAGGCUUCCCUCCACAUCUCUAUGCCCCCCCCAACACAAAACUCCUCCCUUCCCUCGUUUUCUGCUCUCUCUCUCUCUCUCUCUAACUAAAACCCUCGCCUCCCCCUUCUCUCUCCUCCUCCGCCGUCGCCGCCGGGAUCUUCGAAUCGAACUCCGCUUUAAAACGAUCCAUGUCCGGCGGCGUACGAUCUUCCCCUGGUUCUUCUCGCCAGCCGCCGCCGCCACCGCAGCAUCCGGCGGCAUCUGUGCCCGUGGUGCCACCAAUACGUCGACACUUAGCGUUCGCCUCAACGAAACCGCCGUUCCAUCCCUCGGAUAACUACCACCGAUUCACCCCUUCGCACCUCGCUAACAACCUCGUCAAUGGCUGUGGAGGACUCGUAGAUCGGGAGGAGGACGCCGUCGUUCUUAGAUCUCCUUCACGGAAGAGAAAGUCGACUAUGGAUGUGGUUACUACUACUACCACUUCUACUAGUAAUGGAUUCACGAGUUCUGAUGGUUUCACUAGCAGUCCCUGCCGAACUCCGGUUUCAGCAAAAGGAGACAGAGUCAACAUCAAGUCAAAAGCCAAAGGAAACCAGUCCAUUCCCCAAACACCCAUCUCAAAUAUUGGUUCUCCUGCCACACUAACUCCUUCUGGAAGUUGCCGUUAUGACAGUUCUUUAGGUCUCCUUACGAAAAAGUUCGUCAAUCUUAUCAAACAAGCCAAAGAUGGAAUGCUGGACCUGAACAAAGCUGCAGAGACAUUGGAGGUGCAGAAACGUCGUAUAUAUGAUAUUACAAACGUUUUGGAGGGGAUUGAUCUCAUUGAAAAGCCUUUGAAGAACCGAAUCCUUUGGAAGGGAGUUGAUGCUUUGAGGCCUGGCGAUGUGGAUGCUGAUGUUUCUGACGUACAGGCAGAAAUUGAAAACCUUUCCCUCGAGGAACAAGCGCUAGAUAACCAAAUCAGAGAAACGGAGCAAAGAUUAAGAGAUCUGAGCGAAAAUGAAAAAAAUCAGAAAUGGCUUUUUGUAACUGAAGAGGACAUCAAGAGUUUACCCGGUUUCCAGAACCAGACACUGAUAGCCGUCAAAGCUCCUCAUGGCACAACUUUGGAAGUCCCUGAUCCAGAUGAGGCGGUUGGCCACCCUCAAAGGAGAUACAGGAUCAUCCUCAGAAGUACAAUGGGUCCUAUUGACGUAUACCUUGUUAGUGAAUUUGAGGAGAAGUUUGAAGACACAAAUGGCCCUGCUGCACCACCACCACCACCACCAUGCUUGCCUAUUGCUUCUUGCUCGGGAUCUACAGAAAACCAUAACAUAGAAGCCUUAACUGUUGAUAACACAGGAACUGCCGUUGAGGAUCAGUUGUCUCAAACCCAUGCAAAUGCUCAACCCGGCGAGACCUCUGAUCUUAACUAUUUGGAGGAGCAGGUAGGUGGAAUGCUUAAGAUUACUCCCUCUGAAGUCGAAAAUGAUGAUACGGAUUACUGGCUUCUCUCCAAUGCGGACAUUAGCAUGACAGAUAUUUGGAAAACAGACUCUGGUAUCGAUUGGGACUAUGGAAUAGCCGAUGUGAGUACUCCACCACCGAUAAUCGGUGACAUAUCCCCAACCGCUAUUGACUCAAUCCCGAGAUGAUGCAAAAAGGUCAAACAUGCAUCUCAUCCCAAAUGCUUUUCUUUCUCAACAACUCUUGGCGCCCCAAUCAAAUCUAAGGAGGGACCAAAUACAGAAACGUGUAUGGACCAAUGGCAGAAAGGGCGCUCCACGUUUAUGUACGUUACUAUGAUGCGGCCUCAGACCUGGAGUUAGAACGUCGAAGCCUGGCUCGGGCAUCGGUGAUGGGUGAUCCUGGAAUUGUAUCUGGAAUGUCGACUCCUUCUCCGUUGAACGUUCUGGCUGCUUCUCGGCCUGGUGUUUGGGGUGGUGUCGGUGGUGGCCACUUCCUCCCCCUGCUCGUUUGCUUCUCUAGCGAUCGCAACGCUGAUAAUGAUUUGUUCAACGCUCUAGGGGCGGGUGGUGAGUUCGGUUCACUCUCUGUCUCCACCGGUGACUGCGUUUUAACGUUCACGUUCGGCUUCACAAGUAACACAAAAGGGUCAGACAUUAUCAAGUAGUACUAACAUAUGUGAACUGAGAGACGAUAUUUUAAGGCAACCGAUGGGUUAGUACCGGUUGGUUAGCUGCGGCUGCAGCAGGGAACCGGAGCGAUUGGGCGAGUACAUAUUGAAAAGCCUGAAUGAAGGUGGAUUGAGCAGCCUGGGCAAAAUUGUGGAAAUAGAAUAU
RNA transcript from Brassica napus (rape), 2300 nucleotides. It is a transcript of the gene named transcription factor E2FA-like, with no coding region annotated. The transcript has 14 exons. The record is from RefSeq and is a predicted model, not a curated record. NCBI's taxonomy places the organism in Eukaryota, Viridiplantae, Streptophyta, Magnoliopsida, Brassicales, Brassicaceae.